RNAcentral lists this ribosomal RNA (490 nucleotides) under uncultured bacterium. Its description in RNAcentral is "bacterial SSU rRNA". It matches the Rfam family "Bacterial small subunit ribosomal RNA", at positions 501 to 990 of the family's 1533-position model. The record is from RNAcentral.
CUACGUGCCAGCAGCCGCGGUAAUACGUAGGUGGCAAGCGUUGUCCGGAAUUAUUGGGCGUAAAGCGCGCGCAGGCGGAUUGGUCAGUCUGUCUUAAAAGUUCGGGGCUUAACCCCGUGAUGGGAUGGAAACUACUCAUCUUGAGUGCAGGAGAGGAAAGCGGAAUUCCUAGUGUAGCGGUGAAAUGCGUAGAUAUUAGGAAGAACACCAGUGGCGAAGGCGGCUUUCUGGACUGUAACUGACGCUGAGGCUCGAAAGCCAGGGGAGCGAACGGGAUUAGAUACCCCGGUAGUCCACGCCGUAAACGAUGAGUGCUAGGUGUUAGACCCUUUCCGGGGUUUAGUGCCGUAGCUAACGCAUUAAGCACUCCGCCUGGGGAGUACGACCGCAAGGUUGAAACUCAAAGGAAUUGACGGGGGCCCGCACAAGCGGUGGAGCAUGUGGUUUAAUUCGAAGCAACGCGAAGAACCUUACCAGGUCUUGACAUCCC